UUUGACAUGCAGGUGAUCGCCGUUGAAAGACGGUUUCCUCUUCGGAGGCACCUGCACAGGUGCUGCAUGGCUGUCGUCAGCUCGUGUCGUGAGAUGUUGGGUUAAGUCCCGCAACGAGCGCAACCCUUUACUCCCCAGUUGCCAUCAGGUAAAGCGUGGGAACUCGUGGGGAGACUGCCGGUGAUAAACCGGAGGAAGGCGGGGAUGACGUCAAGUCCUCAUGGCCCUUACAUCCCGGGCUACACACGUGCUACAAUGGCAGGUACAGAGGGCUGCGAAGCCGCGAGGUGGAGCGAAUCCCAGAAAACCUGUCUCAGUCCGGAUUGAAGUCUGCAACUCGACUUCAUGAAGGCGGAAUCGCUAGUAACCGCGAAUCAGCAGGUCGCGGUGAAUACGUUCCCGGGCCUU
This 408-nucleotide ribosomal RNA is filed under the name uncultured Latescibacterota bacterium. RNAcentral describes it as "bacterial SSU rRNA". It matches the Rfam family "Bacterial small subunit ribosomal RNA", at positions 980 to 1382 of the family's 1533-position model. Lineage: Bacteria; Pseudomonadati; Candidatus Latescibacterota. The record is from RNAcentral.